RNAcentral lists this ribosomal RNA (460 nucleotides) under uncultured bacterium. Its description in RNAcentral is "partial 16S ribosomal RNA". It matches the Rfam family "Bacterial small subunit ribosomal RNA", at positions 338 to 795 of the family's 1533-position model. The record is from RNAcentral.
CCUACGGGAGUCAGCAGUGAGGAAUAUUGGUCAAUGGGCGGGAGCCUGAACCAGCCAAGUCGCGUGAAGGAUGAAGGAUCUAUGGUUUGUACACUUCUUUUAUAUGGGAAUAAAGUGAGGCACGUGUUCCUUUUUGUAUGUACCCUAUGAAUAAGCAUCGGCUAACUCCGUGCCAGCAGCCGCGGUAAUACGGAGGAUGCGAGCGUUAUCCGGAUUUAUUGGGUUUAAAGGGUGCGUAGGUGGUUAAUUAAGUCAGCGGUGAAAGUGUGUGGCUCAACCAUAAAAUUGCCGUUGAAACUGGUUGACUAGAGUAUACUUGAGGUAGGCGGAAUGCGUGGUGUAGCGGUGAAAUGCAUAGAUAUCACGCAGAACUCCGAUUGCGAAGGCAGCUUACUAAACUAUAACUGACACUGAGGCACGAAAGCGUGGGGAUCGAACAGGAUUAGAUACCCGGGUAGUC